RNAcentral lists this ribosomal RNA (117 nucleotides) under Nonomuraea fastidiosa. RNAcentral also lists the same sequence under 12 other names. Lineage: Bacteria; Bacillati; Actinomycetota; Actinomycetes; Streptosporangiales; Streptosporangiaceae. The record is from RNAcentral.
UACGGCGGUUAUGGCGGGAAGGAAACACCCGGUUACAUUCCGAACCCGGAAGUUAAGCUUCUCAGCGCCGAUGGUACUGCACUCGGGAGGGUGUGGGAGAGUAGGUCACCGCCGGAC